This 465-nucleotide ribosomal RNA is filed under the name uncultured bacterium. RNAcentral describes it as "partial 16S ribosomal RNA". It matches the Rfam family "Bacterial small subunit ribosomal RNA", at positions 28 to 506 of the family's 1533-position model. The record is from RNAcentral.
GAUGAACGCUGGCGGCGUGCUUAACACAUGCAAGUCGAACGAUGAAGCCCAGCUUGCUGGGUGGAUUAGUGGCGAACGGGUGAGUAACACGUGAGUAACCUGCCCUUAACUCUGGGAUAAGCCUGGGAAACUGGGUCUAAUACCGGAUAGGAGCGUCCACCGCAUGGUGGGUGUUGGAAAGAUUUAUCGGUUUUGGAUGGACUCGCGGCCUAUCAGCUUGUUGGUGAGGUAAUGGCUCACCAAGGCGACGACGGGUAGCCGGCCUGAGAGGGUGACCGGCCCCCCGGGGACGGGGACACGGCCCAGACCCCUACGGGGGGCAGAGGGGGGGAAUAUUCAACAAGGGGCGCAAGCCUGAUGCGGCGACGCCGGGUGGGGGAUGACGGCCUUGGGGUUGAAACCCUUUUUAGGUAGGGAAGAAGCGAAAGUGACGGUACCGGCAGAAGAAGCCCCGGCUAACUACGU